This 728-nucleotide ribosomal RNA is filed under the name uncultured archaeon. RNAcentral describes it as "bacterial SSU rRNA". It matches the Rfam family "Archaeal small subunit ribosomal RNA", at positions 1 to 735 of the family's 1478-position model. The record is from RNAcentral.
UUCCGGUUGAUCCUGCCGGAGGCCACUGCUAUUGGGAUUCGAUUAAGCCAUGCGAGUCGAGAGGGUUCGGCCCUCGGCUGACGGCUCAGUAACACGUGGAUAAUCUGCCCUUAGGUGGAGGAUAACCUCGGGAAACUGAGAAUAAUACUCCAUAGGUCUAGGAUGCUGGAAUGCACUUAGUCUGAAAACUCCGGUGCCUAAGGAUGAAUCUGCGGACUAUCAGGUUGUAGUCAGGGUAAUGACCUGACUAGCCUAUGACGGAUAUGGGUUGUGGGAGCAAUAACCCAGAGAUGAUAUCUGAGACACGAUAUCAGGCCCUACGGGGCGCAGCAGGCGCGAAAACUUCGCAAUGUGCGAAAGCACGACGAGGGAAUCCCAAGUGCUUGCACGUAAGUGUAAGCUGUUUCUCUGUUUAAAACGCAGAGAGAGUAAGGGCUGGGUAAGACGGGUGCCAGCCGCCGCGGUAAUACCUGCAGCUCAAGUGGUGGCCGUUAUUAUUGGGCCUAAAACGUCCGUAGCCGGUUUAUUAAAUGCCUGGGUAAAUCGGACCGCUUAACGGUUCGAAUUCCGGGUAGACUGAUAAACUUGAGACCGGGAGAAGUUAGAGGUACUCCUGGGGUAGAGGUGAAAUUCUGUAAUCCUAGGGGGACCACCAGUGGCGAAAGCGUCUAACUAGAACGGGUCUGACGGUGAGGGACGAAGCCCUGGGGCGCAAACGGGAUUAGAUA